CCCUUAGAUGUUCUGGGCCGCACACGCGCUACACUGAAGGAGGCAGCGUGUACUCCUGGAUCGAAAGAUUUGGGUAACCCGCGAAUCUCCUUCGUGCUAGGGAUUGAGGUUUGCAAUUAUCCUUCAUGAACGAGGAAUUCCCAGUAAGUGCAUGUCAUAAGCUUGCGCUGACUACGUCCCUGCCCUUUGUACACACCGCCCGUCGCUACUACCGAUUGAAUGAUUUAGUGAGGACUUCGGACUGGGACCGAUGCGGCUUUCGGGCUGCGUCGGUAUUCUGGAAAGAUGUCCAAACUGUAUCAUUUAGAGGAAGUAAAAGUCGUAACA
RNAcentral lists this ribosomal RNA (327 nucleotides) under uncultured eukaryote. RNAcentral describes it as "partial 18S ribosomal RNA". It matches the Rfam family "Eukaryotic small subunit ribosomal RNA", at positions 1470 to 1796 of the family's 1831-position model. The record is from RNAcentral.